AGAGAACAUUAUUUCAUAUAAGAAAUUUCAUCCCUCAAUCAUGUGCUCAAAGAGAGGCCUUGAAAACAAAAUAAGAGAAUCAUAGACAGAGGAACAGACUGCUUUGCAAAAGAGUGACCCUCUCCUGACAGAUGUGGCUGCCAUGGGAAACCAGAGAGCAAGCAUGCUGUAGACUUAAUUGCACCGGUUUGCAGGAGGUAUUUGCACGCCUGCCAACAGCAUUUGUGAGCGAAAGUUGAAGACAUUGAGACUCUGAGAGGUUAAAUGAUUGCUCAAGGUGAGACAGCAAGCCAUUGGCUGAGGAGAGGCUGAAGUUCAUGUUUAUUUGGCCCCAGAACCCAUGACCUGUGAAUCCUCAGUGACACUGUUCUCUAAGUUCUAGGGAACUACAGCCCUUUGAAUGGACAUAUUCCAGAGGAAUCUCCAUACAUUCAAGAAAUCCACAUUGGAGGAUCUCAUUGUGCUGCUGAACAAAUCUUGAUUAUUCUAGAAUCUCUACCUCAAACUGGGCUCAGGGACUGGGAGAAGCAUCAGCUACUAAGUCAACUCAACUAAAGAAAGCAACUCUUUUCAACUGUGAGCUAAGUAACAGAUGACAGAAGUUCCCUCUGCUGAACAAGUGUCUUUGGCAACAUGACCUCUGAAAUUGUCUUCACACCCUGGCAGCCAGCUCUUCAGAAACAGUUCUCCACAAGGGAAAGACUCAAGUUCUAUCUUCAAUCAGAUGGCAUUUCCCACAGAGUCCUCUUCUUUUGGGGCCAUUUUGGUUAAAAAUUAAGCUUUGAACACAUAAUGGCUUCAUUUAUAUGUACAUACAUGUUGGUCCUUUGGAGAAUGGAAGAAUAAAUCUAUUUUGUUGAAUUCACAUACACACACACACACACACACACACACACCUAUGUAUUUGCUUUAGUGAUUCUGUGAAGGCUUGCUAUAAAUUUGGGUCAAGUGCAACCUUGCAGGGAUUUAUCAAAGACUGAUAGAGAUAGUGGGCAUUGCUGUAGAAAACCUAGUUUGAAUCACGAAUGCACAUUGCUAUUUAAAAUGAGGUUGAAAGGGGUCAUUCACUCCUUGGGAAGAUCUCUCCCUGAAACAACUGCCAAAUUAGCUCUGUGGGAAUUUUCUGUGCAACAGGUGUUCCUUGUACUUUGCACUGUGGGUUGACACGGCUUCUUCUCUCUGGGCUUCAUGGCAGGUGUAAAAGGAUAGCUCUGGAAGCCGGGUGCCUCUUCAGACUUCAGAAUUGAGUAGCACUUGAAUUUUUUUUUCUUUUUUAGCAUGAUCCCAUUCGGACAAUGAUACUACAUGGAAUGAAACGACUAAUAAUAAUACUCAAAAUGUCAAGUGCAAUACUGAAAAAUGUCAGUAUUUUUUCAUUCAACCAUGUCAGCAGCAAAUCCAAUCUGAAAUAUGCUGACAAUAGUGGAGCUAUGAAAACCAAUAUACUUGAUGAGCCAGCCGUCCAAUAAAUUAUAUAUGUAAUGAGAAUGCCAAGAUUGGAAGGUGGAGCAAAUGAAGGAAAGUGCUUCCUUGUUCUCAGGAACCUCCGGGUGAGCCCACACUCUCUGAGGAAAUACAGAACUCUGACUCCUGCAUGGCUGUGGUCUGCAACUGCUCAGGACCUCACCCCCUCUGCCCUCUCCUACCUUGCACCUACCCUAGCACAGGCACCUGGGCAACAUCCUGCUGGGUGACACUCUCUGGACCUGUGUGUAGGAAGACGGACUUGUGGGUUUAGAUUGAGCAGGAUUCAUCUCUGAUAGAAGCUGUCUCAUUCUCUGGAUUCCCACCUUCAGGUUCCAUCAGAGAAGACUGAUUUAGGCUCUGUCUGAAGGAGCAAUGAAGGGCCUUGGGUAGGAGACCUGACGUGAAUCCCUAACGCUCACACCAACCAUCCUGAGGCAGAGCUGGCCUCUUGUGUUAAUUCAGGAGAGCCGGCCAGGGCGCCAAAGCUGAUCUUCAGGGUGGCACCUUUAACUUUUUGUUGUGGUCCACAUAGUUGGUUAUCAGCAAAGAUUGUUUUGAAUGCAAGCAUUGAUUUGCGAAUGUCCUGUGGGUAAAUAAUGGGUGCAAUGUUAGCUGGUAAGGGCCUUAAGAGAAGGUUGCAUGUGCUCAAGUUCCAGUUCUUCAGAGUCUUAGAGGACCACUUUGCAUGACACCUUUCAUGUCAUGGAAACUAGGCACCUCCUGAAAUGGGGAUGGGAUACUUAAGAGGCAUCAUUCUUCACACUUGACUUCUCCACUUCCCCCAUCACUGGACACUUAGCUGCAGUCACAAUGGACCCAGACCUAUGACCAAUUUGGGAGAGGGGGCCAGCCAGUGGGAGUCAGAUUUCCAAAAUGGGAACAGAAUCUGAGCUCAAGUUACAGCUAAUUCAGUCUUGUUGCUGCUAUAGUCACUCUCACUGCCCUCUGGGCCAUUCUCCCACACUGUAGGUAGAAAGAUCGCUUCACAUUUAAACACGGUCCUGUUGCCUCCCUGGUUUAAAAUAUCCUUUGUCUACCCACUGGGCCUAGAAUACUGGUCAAACCCAUUAAAAUGGCCUACAAGGAUCCUCCCACACCUACCACUCCUUUGUUUCUGCCUCUUCCUUUCCUCAAACUUCAGCUCCAUUUCAUCAACAGGUCUUCUCUGACCUCUUGAUUAGAUCAGAUGCCAUCCCUACAUGUGUACUACCUGACACCCUCAAGGAGAGAAGAGCAUGAGGACAGGAGUCUCAUGGCUUGGCAAUCCACUGCAAGAACAGGCGACAGGUGUGGGUGUGCGCUGCAGGACAAGCACUGUACUGGUUGCUUACAGGCAUUACGAGUCUCACUUGUUGGCUGUAGGACCUAUGAGUUACAAGAACCAAGGCAUGGAGAAAUCAAGCAAUUUGCCCAGUUCAGUGGGAUCUGAAGUCUGGUGGUUCCAGAGCUUCUGCCCAUAGUCUUUAAGCCUGUGGUUCUCAGAGUGGGGUUCUUGGCACCAGUGGUAUCAGCACUGCUGGUACCUUGAGAGAAAUGCAGAUUCCCGGGCUCCACCCCAGAACUAAUGAGUCAGAAUCUCUGGGGUUGGGCCCUGUAAUCUGUGACCCAACCCAGCCUCCAGCUGAUUCCCAUGUUCCGUCAGGCUUGUGAACUCCAGUUCUGGGUCAUUUUUCCAUCUUGUCAUAGCUCCACAUCCUGGACACUUAAUAAAUGCCUGCAUAUGGAAGGGAGGCAGGGAGAGAGGGAGAAAGAAGGCAGGCAGGCAGGCAAGCCUCUUCUCAAAGAAUAUUCUGAAAUAAGUGGAUGGAGGACUGCUGUGGCUUGACCAUACUUUAAUCUCCAAAUUGCAAAAACAUUAACAUUAUUGAUUGAUCAGACAUCAAUCCAACAGAAAUUUAAUUAAAUUAGAAUGUGUCACCGAGCAGACCUGGCUGCAUCAUGCAUAAAUCUCAGGUAAUAAGUUGACAAAGAGGCAGCACCAUUGAUGCUCACCCUGGCUGAAUUUGGCCUGCAUCAUCUUCUCCUACUGUUGGCCUCCAGAGGCCUUGCACAUGCCUUAGGGAGAGUACAGGUGAAAUGGGGUGAAAUCCUGAUUCAUGGCACCCGUCAAGUCGCCAGUGGCUACGGUAUCUGAGAAAUUCCUUCCCUGUGUGAUUUACUUCUGCCUUGGGCCAGCCAAGCGGCAUUGGGGGGAUGCCUCUGGGUGAGCCCAGGCCUUGGGGAAAGUGCUGAGCUGGCUGAGAUCUCCUGGGUGAGGGGUUUAGCACUUGGGGUGUCCUCAUGACCAAUGUGUCCUUAGGAUGAAGCCAGAUCCUCAGAGGGCAGAAGACCUGCACUGGUGUGGCCUGUCUGCCCUCGCCUCAGGAAUGUAUUUUGGUGUCAGCGAGAUGCCGCAGCUGCUGUCCCAGAGACAGGUCUGGAGUGGCUCCAGUGCACUUGGCUCUGGGCCACCAGACCCUCAGCAUCUUAGGCACUGGGGGCAGCAGAGGAUGCCAGGAAGCCACAGACAGCGGUAACAUGGCCUCCUGCGCCUAGAGAGGUCUAAAUCCUUUAGGGUAAAGGAAGGGGUGCCUGAGGACAGGAAAAUCCAGGUGACAAAAAAAGAAAGCAGACUGUCCUGGGGUCAGGAAGGCUGUGUGGAAGAAACCCUUCUAACAGUGAUCUCUUGAACCCAACCUUCUUGCUUUCUUUGAUUUCCUUCAAUCAAUCCUGGGCUCACAUUUCCUUUGUAAAUGUCAUCUUCCUUGUAGGGAAUGAUGUUGUUUUGAUAGCACAUGUUUUGAAGAUGUCACAGUCUCUUCUAUGGCUGGCAUUUAUUCCGCAGCUCGCUGGUGAUGUACCCCAGGCUCUGGUCUACAGCAGAGGUCCACAAACUGCAGCCCAGCCAGGCCUGCCACCUGUUUUUAUAAAUAAAGUUUUAUUGGAACAUAGCCAUAUCUGUUUAUACCAUGUCCACGGUUGUUUCCAUGCCAUAAUAGCAGUAUCAAACAGUUGUAUCAGACAGAGUCUGGACCACAAAGUCAAAAAUAUUUAAUAUCUGUCCUUCUAUAGAAAAAGUUUGCAAUCCUCAUGGUAAAGAAAUGGUAAGUGGCUAAGAACAUAGGCUCAGGAUUCAGACAGGUUUGAACUUGAAGACCAUUUCUUCCACCCAUUAGCUAUGUAACCC
Heterocephalus glaber (naked mole-rat) is the source of this 4633-nucleotide long non-coding RNA. The record is from Ensembl. NCBI's taxonomy places the organism in Eukaryota, Metazoa, Chordata, Mammalia, Rodentia, Bathyergidae.